UUAGGAAUCUUGGACAAUGGGCGCAAGCCUGAUCCAGCCAUGCCGCGUGAGUGAUGAAGGCCUUAGGGUUGUAAAGCUCUUUCAGCGGGGAAGAUAAUGACGGUACCCGCAGAAGAAGCCCCGGCUAACUUCGUGCCAGCAGCCGCGGUAAUACGAAGGGGGCUAGCGUUGCUCGGAAUCACUGGGCGUAAAGCGCACGUAGGCGGCUUUCUAAGUCAGGGGUGAAAUCCUGGAGCUCAACUCCAGAACUGCCUUUGAUACUGGAGAGCUCGAGUCCGGAAGAGGUGAGUGGAACUCCGAGUGUAGAGGUGAAAUUCGUAGAUAUUCGGAAGAACACCAGUGGCGAAGGCGGCUCACUGGUCCGGUACUGACGCUGAUGUGCGAAAGCGUGGGGAGCAAACA
Molecule: ribosomal RNA, 402 nt
Filed under: uncultured Rhodoplanes sp.
Lineage: Bacteria; Pseudomonadati; Pseudomonadota; Alphaproteobacteria; Hyphomicrobiales; Nitrobacteraceae
Description: bacterial SSU rRNA
Rfam family: Bacterial small subunit ribosomal RNA
Source: RNAcentral